This is a long non-coding RNA of Symphalangus syndactylus (siamang), 530 nucleotides long. RefSeq lists it as uncharacterized. Lineage: Eukaryota; Metazoa; Chordata; Mammalia; Primates; Hylobatidae. The record is from RefSeq and is a predicted model, not a curated record.
GGACCGUCCAGGCUCUCCUGCAAUGGCCACCAGGGGGCGCCGCUCCCCCAGCCUUCCUCUUACUGAACCUACCCCCCCACCACCACCCCCCAACAACCUGCUCGCGAGAAACCAGGCCUUGGAAGGAGUCCAGGGGAGCAGGCACCAGAGAUUUUGAAAAGUGCCAUGUGGAGGAGCGCCUGUUCCCAUUUUACAGAUGAGGAAUUUGAGGCCCAAAGAUGUUGGCAACAUUCCAGCUGCCCCUUCUCCAACCUGAACUUUCUGGAAGCCUGGGCACCUGCUUCAUUGUUCUCCAGGGGCCCCCAUCAGCCACCCAUCCCACACCCUCCCCAUCUGAGCAGAGCCGGGAGCCCCCUCUGCAGCCCUGUCCUGCUUGACAUUCCUUCCCCACCCCAGGGACCCUGCGGGGUCAGGCUUUGCCCCUCGACACCCCAAGGUAGGCAGCAGCACGAAUAAACAAUGGGACAUUUGAACCAGGAAGAGCCUGUGGUUGAAGCCAAAACAGGCACCAAGGUUUUCUCUCAGCUCCU